GCCUUGCCAGCCCGCUACAGAAACUUAAAGGAAGUAGACGGGGCCGGCACAAGCGGAGGAGCAUGUGGUUUAAUUCGAUGAUACGCGAGGAACCUUACCUGGGCUCGAACGUAAGAUGACUGUAGGUGAAAGCUUACAUCUCUUCGGAGCAUUUUACGAGGUGCUGCAUGGUUGUCGUCAGCUCGUGCCGUGAGGUGUCGGGUUAAGUCCCAUAACGAGCGCAACCCCUACCUUUAGUUGCCAUCAGGUUAAGCUGGGGACUCUAAAGGAACUGCCUACGCAAGUAGUGAGGAAGCGGGGAUGACGUCAAAUCAGCACGGCCCUUACGUCCAGGGCUACACACGUGCUACAAUGGCCGAUACAGAGGGCAGCUACCUGGUGACAGGAUGCAAAUCUCCAAAGUCGGUCUCAGUUCGGAUCGGAGUCUGCAACCCGACUCCGUGAAGUUGGAUUCGCUAGUAAUCGCGCAUCAGCCAUGGCGCGGUGAAUACGUUCCCGGGCCUU
Molecule: ribosomal RNA, 504 nt
Filed under: uncultured Sphingobacteriales bacterium
Lineage: Bacteria; Pseudomonadati; Bacteroidota; Sphingobacteriia; Sphingobacteriales
Description: bacterial SSU rRNA
Rfam family: Bacterial small subunit ribosomal RNA
Source: RNAcentral